AGUGAACGCUGGCGGUAGGCCUAACACAUGCAAGUCGAACGGCAGCACAGGAGAGCUUGCUCUCUGGGUGGCGAGUGGCGGACGGGUGAGGAAUACAUCGGAAUCUACUUUUUCGUGGGGGAUAACGUAGGGAAACUUACGCUAAUACCGCAUACGACCUACGGGUGAAAGCAGGGGACCUUCGGGCCUUGCGCGAUUGAAUGAGCCGAUGUCGGAUUGGCUAGGUGGCGGGGAAAAGGCCCACAACGGCGACGAUGCGUAGCUGGUCUGAGAGGAUUAGCAGCGACACUGGCACGGAGACACGGUGCAGACUCCUACGGGAGGCAGCAGGGGGGAAUAUUGGACAAUGGGCGCAAUGCUGAUCCAGCCAUACCGCGGGGGUGAAGAAGGCCUUCGGGUUGUAAAGCCCUUUUGUUGGGAAAGAAAUCCAGCUGGCUAAUACCCGGUUGGGAUGACGGUACCCAAAGAAUAAGCACCGGCUAACUUCGUGCCAGCAGCCGCCGCGG
Molecule: ribosomal RNA, 506 nt
Filed under: uncultured bacterium
Lineage: Bacteria
Description: partial 16S ribosomal RNA
Rfam family: Bacterial small subunit ribosomal RNA
Source: RNAcentral